AAGCUUGUUCCCUGAGAGGUGGCCGCAGACGAACCCACUGCUCAGUCUGGCAUCCCGAAGCCGCUCCGCUCCUGGCUCUCCCCGCUGUUCCUGCGCGCAGCGGGGGCAGUGCCCCCACACCCACGCGUGAUGGGAAGGCCGGCCUGGGGGUGGGAAGGCCCACCGAAAUAGAUGGUCCCCACACCUCACUGCUUCCUUGGAUGUGGCUAUUUUUUAUGCCAGUGUUCUCCUGCUCUGACCCUACUUGAACUUGACCGCAACCGGCCCCGCCUUGCAGGCCACCCUCCCGCAGCAGAAAACUGUGCGGAGCUCGCGCUGUCCUCGCCUCCGCUGACCCCACCUCCAUGUCCUCACAGACACUAUUUUUUCACAACACAGCUCAGAUCCCACCUUCUUCAUGAGGUUAUUCAACAAACACUAUUAAACUUGUAAGAUGUACCAGAUCCUGAGUUGGAGGCUGAGAGGAGGACAAGAAAACUGCUCCCGUAGCCUAGAGGGAGGGAGAGUCGCUUAAACCACCUGAUGCAGAAUGCUGAGUGCGGAGACCAGGAGGGUCCAUCUGAACCUCAGGGUCCUCUAGGAUACCCAGGACCUCGAGGGUUAAGUCCAGGGUAGAGAUGGAAUUCGGAGUCUGAAGGGCCAUGAGGGUGCAAAGGGAACAUCGGGUGGUGAUGGCCUCCAUGAUCCCCCAGAGAAAGGGUGUGACUUGAGUGCCUUCUUCCUCUGUGCUCCCCAGGGAGCAGCAGCAUCAGAGUGCUCCCAGGGUGCCAAAGGGACACACUGGACCAACUGGAGACCCUGGGCCCCCUGGAUUCACAGCUGACAAUGGAUUGAGGUGGGUAUAGAAGAAGUCAAGGAAAAGCCCCUGUCAUGAAGAGUUGGAUGGAGACAGGCACAGAGUGGCCGCAGGUCCAAGCAGAGUGAACAUGCGUCCAAACUGGCAGUGGCAGCCCCUAGAAGGGAGACACCAACAGCACCGAGAUCUGUGGUCUCCAGAGCUGACAUCUCCUGCACUUGCCACGUGCAGGCGCUGUGCGGGACCUCCUCUCCAUCCUGUGAGGUGGGUGUGGACAGUCCUAUUUUGCAGGUGAGGCUUUGCAGAGGCACAAGCAGGCCAAGUCAUCACAGGGUCAUCAAAUGGCAGGGCAGGAACUGAGCCACAGUGGUUGAGCUGCAGAAUCACUGCUCCCAACCCCCUGCUCCACAGCUGCCUGGGCUGGAUGAGCCCUGGAGCAGCAGGAGGCAUACAGGGGAGCUGGGUGCUGCACCGCAUGGGCAAAGGGCCGGAGACGUGUGGGGAAACUAGUCCUGGUGAAGCAAGAGUGGGUGCUGGGGCAGAUGGAGCUGAGGGUGGCAGAUGGGCAGCAACUGGAUCACAGCAACCUUGAAGGACUUGACGGAGCUGCAGGCACAGGGAUGUCAGAUCCCAGCACUAGAGUUGGAGAAAAUUCACUCUUAGGAAGAAGGAGACUGGGUGUGCUGGCUCCUUCCUCACCCCAGGGAGGAAGCUGAGUUCCCCUGCCCAGCACCUGCCCCAUUCUCCUGACUCUGUCUACCUCUGUCUCUAGGGUCUCCCUGAACUCAGGGUCCCAAUGGAUUUCCUGGCCCCAAAGAGCCCCUGGGCACCCUGGGAAUGACAAGCUGCCGGGACACUCAGGCCAGAGAGGAAAGGUGGUGAGGGAGACCCCUGGCCACCAAUUCUCAGGAGGCCCCUCAAAUGCCAAAGCUGUCUGGGAGGCCCACAGAGACAUUUUCUGAGCAGAACAGAGCCUGCCCUAAUGCUGUCCACACCCACGGGCCGAGGCUUGAUGUGACCUUGUUCCUCUUCUGGAGCCCAGGCAUCUACCCUACAGCACCCACUGCACUCCCCCCUUUUCCUCUCAGGGUUUCCAAGGGGAGAGCAGCCCCCGUGGCCCCCCAUAUGUGGUGGGACCUCAGCUAGGUCUGUUCCCAGGAGAGAACGGCUCCCAGACCCUGGAGUUAAGUCUGUCUGGCUCUCUUCUCUCAGUCACACACCCCUGCCUCUGGCUCGCAUGUCUGGAACAGGGUGUCCAUGGGGUUCAAGGGAAGGAUGUUCCUGGUCUGAGGGGCUUCCCAGGAGAGAGAGGCCUCCUAGGCACUGCUGUGAGUGUGACUCCCAGAGCCCUGCCUGGACCAAGGACCAAGUGACCUGAACCCCUCCCUGACCCUGACCCUGCUCCAUGCCACUCCCCACUCCCAUCUCUCUGAACCUAUCUCCUCUCGCCAGCCCUCACCCUUCUCUUUUCUGUGAAGCUCCACCUUCCCCAAAUCUCUGCUUCAGAGUGUGGACCCAGCUUGAAGAGGAAUGAGGUCCAGUUGGCCCCCUUACCCUGCAGGGAGCCUGGGGUUCCUGGGGAGUGGGAGGAGGGAACUAGGAAAGGGGGUGUUGAGGCAGGGUGGAGGUGGCAUCCAGAUCUACGCAGGUGCUGUGGGACUGGGCAGAGGGAAUCUAGAGUCAGCCAGAAUGCAGCUGAUUUGGGGCUCUUCUCCUGGGAAUUGUGCUCUGAGGGCCCUGGUAUGAGUGGGCUUGGGUCUUCCUCCCUGGGGAUCUCACUCAUCUCAACUUUCAGGGUUCCCCCCUAGGGAGUGAGGUGCAGCAGGAUCAAGGGACCCAUUGCCCCCCGCCAGGGUGCCCAGGCCCUCAGGAACCCCCUGGAUCAGCAGGAGAGACAGGGUGAAAAGGGCCCCAUUUGUCUGCCUGGCUGUGAUAGGGUGCAGAGUCCUGUGUGACUUCCUGGUCCUGCUGGGCCUCCAGGUGUGGCUGGAGAAGAUGGAGACCAAGAGGAGAACCCCAGAGAACCCGACCAAUCUUCUCUCCACAUGAGAGGGCUGAGGGCCCUCCUGGACCCCCUGGACUCACUGGUCCAUGGAACAGCCUGUAGCAGUGGGAGCAGAUUGGGAGCCCAGAGCUCAGGGACCCCAGGGACACUUUGGAGCCAGAGUGUGGGGAGCCAAAGGCAAUAAAGGGACUACCUGGACCCAGUGGCACUGGUGGUCCACAAGAUCCCCUGGGAGGUGUUGGGGCCCUGGGUCCCCCUGGAGAGAAGGAGAGUCAGGAUCUCCAGGAAUCCAGGGUGAGCCGGGUGUCAGGGUCUUGGUUUUCCUGGAGACCCUGGCCCCCCAGGAGAAGGUGGCUCAUGACCAGGACAGUGUUAACGGUGACUAUGGCAAGGAUGGUGAGCCAGUACAGCCCGUGAGUGACCAAUGUCCCUGCCACCCCCACUGAGCUCCAGCCUUCAGCCCCUUACCCCUCUUUUCUGUGCCCUACUCCUGAGGGGUCCCUUAGCUGGAGGCCAACACUCACCCACCCCAAUUCCUCUCAUUCUGUGGAUCCUCUGGUCCCACUGGGGAGAAUGGACUACCUGGACCACAUGGAAAGCAGGGUCAGCUAAGAAUAGCCAUGACUCAAGGGUCAGCUAAGAAUAGUCAUGACUCAAGGGUCAUUUAGGACACAGGAAGAUACCAGAUGAGGAAACUCUCCCCAAGUCCUAAACUCAUUCACAAAUUAGAACACAUAGGUCCAGCCCAGGCACAGUGGCUGAAGCCUGGAAUCCUCCCGCUUCCUGCUUCGGGAGACCAAGGCAAGAGGAUCUCUCGAAGUGGCACGGAGAAGCUCUCGCUCAUCGCUGCCUCCUACCACUCCGAACAUGCUGCAGUCUCGUUGACCACGCUGCAGUCUUGGUGGCCACCACCAACUGCAGGGAGCCUGGCCAGGUGCCGCAAGUUGCAGCCUCCACCUCCUCCUCUAAGUCGGGCUUGGAGCAGCAGCGGGAGCAGUCACAGAAGAGGCUGGAAUGGUGGAAUGCACCCUCAGUAUGCAUUAUAUAUAGAGGUUUCGGCAAUGAGGGCCUGGACUUUGUGUUCUGAUUGGAUGGGGGAAACCUCUAGGCUUUAUCUUCAUGCCCUGAUUGGUUAUCCUAAGAGUUGCUCUCAUCCAGUCUUCUUUAUAAGUGGUCAUCUUUGUAAGUUCAUGCCCACUGGGAGUUACUGAAGUUGUGAAUGAUUACAUUUAAACUUAUCCUGUAAUUUUAGUCUGAUUUAUUAAUUCCACCUAUCUCCUUAAGCAAAUUAUUCUCUAUAGUGAUGACCCAAGCAAAUUCCUGUCCCAAGAUGGUAUCAAGAUGAUACCCAAGUUCCUCUCCAGAAUGGUAUCUGGAUAUAUGUGGAGGGAAAUAUUUUUUCUAGGCCUGUAUUAAAUAUGGCACUAAAGCUUAGUGGCUUAAAACAAUACACUGUUAUUAUCUCACAGCUUCUGUGAAUAAGUAGUUCAGGAGAGUGUAGCUGGGUGAUUCUUGCCAAGAGUCUCAUAAGGUUGCAGUCAAUCUGUUGGUGAGAAUUGUAGUUACUUGAAGACUUGGAGUUGAAGAAUUUAUAUCAAAGAUGGCUUACUUAUGGCAAUUGGAUGGAAGCCCCAGUUUCAGAAUGGCUGCUGGCAACAGGUCUUUUUACUUGCCACAUGGACCUCUCCAUAGGCUGACUGAAUGUCCUCCCAAUGUGUCAUCUGGCUUUCUCCAGUGCAAAAGAUCAAAGAAGAGAGUAUGAAGGAACCCGUAAUGCUCUUUAUAAUUUUGUCACAGACCGUCACUUCUGCCAUACUCUAUUGUUUAGAAGUUAGUCAUUAAGUCCAGCCCACACUCAAAAGAACGAGAAUUAACCUCCACCUUUGGAAGAGAGGCUAGUCAAAGCACUUGUGGACAUGUUUUGAAACCACAAAGGGGUAUGGCUGCCAGUCUCCAAGAUGGCCGCCAGUGAUUCUCAUCAGCUGUUAUUAAUACAUUUGUAUAGUCCCUUCCCACAAGAAAAAAGAGUUGAUCUGUUUAAUUAGUAUUAUUUUGUUGAAAUGACAGAGUCUGACUUGCAAGUUUAGGUCAUAAGAAGAAUUUUGACUUCUGCCUUAUUCUCUAUUGGAUCAAUAUCCCUAGGGGAAGCUAGAUGCAAUGUCAUGAAAUCAUUCAAACAGUCCCAUGGAACAAUCCAUCUAGCAAGGAACUGAUAUCUCCUAGCAAUAGCUGGCAUUAACUUACAAGUCGUAUGAGUGGGCCAUCUUAGAAUUGGAUUCUUCAGUCCAAAUCAAGUCUUCAGAUAACUGUAGCCCUGGCUGACAUCUUGAUUACAUCCUCAAGAGAGACCCUGAGCCAGAAUCACUCAGUUAAGCCACUGAGUUCUUUUUGCCAAAAACUUUUUUUUUACCAAGUUCUUUUUGCCACCAACUUUAUUGAGGUAUAAUUGACAAUUAAGAUUGUAUAUAUUUAAGGAAUACAACUUGAUGAUUUGAUAUACACAUACAUUGUGAAAUAAUCGUGAUAAUUAGGUUAACAUAUUCAUUACUUCACAUAAGUACCAUUUUCGUGUGUGUGUGUGUGUGUGUGUGUGUGUGUGUGUGUGUGUGUGGUGAGAACACAUGAGAUGUAUCCUCUUAGAAAAUUUCAAGUAUACAAUAUAUUAUUGUUAACUACAGUCAUAUUAUUGUAUACUAUGUCUCCAGAACUUAUUCACCUUGCGUAACUGAGAUGCUGUACCCUUGACCAAUGUCUCCCCCUUUUCUUCUCCCUCCAGCCCCUGGUAACUACCCUUCUACUUUCCAGUUCUAUACAUUUGACUCUUUUAGAUUCCACACAUAAGUCAAAUUUUUGACCCUUAGGAGCUGGGUGAAUAAUAAAUAUUUAUUGUUAUUUUCA
Homo sapiens (human) is the source of this 5699-nucleotide long non-coding RNA. RefSeq annotates it as VOPP1 divergent transcript. The transcript has 17 exons. Lineage: Eukaryota; Metazoa; Chordata; Mammalia; Primates; Hominidae. The record is from RefSeq and is marked validated.